This 511-nucleotide long non-coding RNA is filed under the name Malus domestica (apple). Its description in RNAcentral is "long non-coding RNA (MDOM_LNC014043)". Lineage: Eukaryota; Viridiplantae; Streptophyta; Magnoliopsida; Rosales; Rosaceae. The record is from RNAcentral.
UUUGCAUCUUCGCUUUUAUUUUGCGCCGAUGUCACUCCAUUUUUUUAAGUUAAUCAAGUAAUCGUAAACUUGGCUAACGUGAAAUUAAUGUUUUGCUCGAAAUUGGUAUUUUUUUUGUCUGACUAGCAAAAAGAUUUAGCUAAAGGCAUGGGCGGCCAUAAAUAAAAAUAUGGCCUGCUAAGAGGCCUAUCCAUUUUUAUUUAUGCAAAAGUAACACGACUUCGGUCUAAUAACUUCGAAGCUAAACUUGGGCUCGAACGAUCAUCUCAUUUUUCUUUAACUUGCCCGGGGCUCAUACACGGUUCUCUUUGUAUGUUUGCCACUCAAACGACCAGAGCAUAGGAAUAUUUUGUUUCCUUCAAUGAAUACACACACGUCAUCUGAUAUAGUGAGGUCACUACUACAAUUGUGCAAAUUACCUCAAGGCACAACUGAAGGCCACCUACCAAAAAUUAUAGUCUCUCUAGAUGCAAAUUCCAGCCGUCUUCUCCUUUGAUGAAAAUGCACUUAC